Helicoverpa armigera (cotton bollworm) is the source of this 1497-nucleotide long non-coding RNA. RefSeq lists it as uncharacterized. The record is from RefSeq and is a predicted model, not a curated record. NCBI's taxonomy places the organism in Eukaryota, Metazoa, Arthropoda, Insecta, Lepidoptera, Noctuidae. The transcript is spliced from 2 exons.
GCCGCGCGCGCAAUGACACACCGACAGUCGCGCGCGCAGUAUUCACCGCGCAUGCGUCAAGAUGCGAGCCCUUUUGCUGUUCUCUCUCCUCACUAUCCUGUACCUCGCUGCUGCAGCACCAGCGAAGUCUAAACUACAGACUGGAACCAAUGAUGCAGACGGCCAGCCUUUCGUAGAAGAGGUGGUGGUGGAAUCAGUUCUGCACGUGCGAUCACCAUCCAGCCGACAAGCGCGCACUAACACACAGACAAGCCUGCAAGAUGGCGCGCGUGUCGCUGAGGCUAAGAUAUAUCAUUAGAACUUUAUGUUGUGUUAGGAUAAGUGCAAUAUUAUAUUAUAAUUAUGGUACAAUGUAGGUUUAUGUUGUCUUUAUUUUAUUUACGUAACGUAACGAGUUCUACUUUUUAACCUUUUAAAUGAUUCACUUGACACAAGUUACAGCUUUUGAAACAAGCGCCAUCUGUUGGUGGUUAUAGGAAUAUGAAUGGCGAAAUAUAAAAUGUAAUAUUGAAUUUAUUGUGUAGUAAUUGCUUGUAAGCGAUUAAUCAUGAUUUAAUUUUAAAAAAGCAGCCAUGACACGAAUAAUAAUAUGUAAGAAUGUAGAUAAACCAUAGAGCAAUGAAGAACCUAGCUUUGACAUUGUUGCUUUAAUACUAUAUUUGCAUACUAAUUACGUACGCAUAAUUACAUUAUUACGAGACUGUCAUAGGCCCUUAACCGGUUUGCACUUGUGUUUAUUGAAAACUCCUAAGAUUAUUAUGUCCAGUUUUGUAAGAUUGUAACAGCGUUUACUUUAUAAACAGCUCUAGCAAGAUACCUACUCAAACACUCAUCAAGUACCUAGGUACCUAACUUCAUUUUUUCUUGGUCUUUUUCCAAAUAGUAAAUACGUUUCUACCACCUAUUAUCCUCAUGCAAGACGAGCCUCUCUCGGUUUCCAGUAUUACCAGACGCAACUACUUAGUCACAUGUUGUCUUCCAUUCAGGUAGUAGGUACACCCACAUUACUAGUUACAGCUAAGUACUGUCUUUGUUACGAUACCAGUUAUUAGAUAAUACCAUAACGCAUUAUAUGGUUGCAUGUCUUUUAUGGGUUGUCCCAGAGUUUCAGAUCAUAAUUAGAAACUAAACUUCAGUGAUGAAUAGAUAGUAAUACCGGCCUCCAAAGGUCUAUUAGAUACAAAAACAUGACUUGUCUUUGGGGGAUCAGAUAGAAUCAUCCAUGUUCUACAAACCCUUCGGAUUUCUAUGGCAUAACAAUAUGUAACAUAUAAUUCUAAAACCAUACUUUAGUAAGCAUAAUAUUUACAUACGAGUACCUAAUACUAUUUAGAGACACAUCCGGCGCACAGCCUCGGCAUAUAUAUGUACUUCAUUAUCACCAGAUGUACGUAAACAAAAGUGAUGAAUGCUUUAAAAUUGUAUAUGUAAUACGUAUUUUCUGUAAAUAGUGUCAUAGAUCCUACUAAAUGUUUGGGUGGAAACUUUUGAUUGCUA